Molecule: long non-coding RNA, 1946 nt
Organism: Rhododendron vialii
Lineage: Eukaryota; Viridiplantae; Streptophyta; Magnoliopsida; Ericales; Ericaceae
Exons: 2
Source: RefSeq, a predicted model, not a curated record
GCUAUCCUAAGAGCCUCAACGAAUCGACAAGCAUAGAAGAAAGGAUGCAAUGUACCAAACUGCCCCUCAAAACUGGCUAGAAAAGCCCACUCAUCUUGAAUAGGUACUGGCUCUGGUGGAUAUGGCAUAGGAAAACUAGAAGAAGGCCUCCCCUGCCGAUCUUGCAUUUCCACUCAUCAUUUCGGCUAUGGAUUUUGGAGUAGUGAGGAGAAAAUUACUGCAAAUUUUUCCAAGUGUUUUUGGCAAGAAGAGAGAGAUACUAUACCGGUAAUAGUGAAAUGGGAAAGAGGUUUGGUGUUGUCAAUUAUUACAUGUCAAAAUAUUCAACUUAAUGGUUCCUUUCUGCUGUUGAAAUUGCUUUAAGCAAAGUGAUUAGCGGAUGUGGUGGAAGAAUGUGAAAAUGGUUCCUCUCUUUUUCUCUUUGGACAGGUAAAAGAUGAUGCCUUGCUUUGAGAAUUUUUUUGACUGUUGUGGGAGUGAGGAAAAUUGAGAAGAACAAUGAUGGAUAGCUAUGGAUACAUCUAGUGGUACAGACAGAAUCAUAUUCCAUUGCCUGCUAACUUGCCUUUAAUGAGGUUAAAGUUCAAGAUAACUCUUGGCAUGAAUACGUAUAUUAAGUAGUUUUUUUUAUUGAAAAAAGAAAUUACUAUCCAAAUUUACAAUUGUUAGUAUGGGAAAAAACUAUUGCAUCUUUUGUUUUUCAUAGACUCCCAAGUUGGGAUUAGCGGUAGUAGUUUUACAUUAACAUCAUGAAUAUAAGAUAUCCUGGUUAGUCGAUCGGUAAGUUGAUCUGUAAUAAGUGUCUCAUGAAGUAUAUGACGAAUUCCAUGAAGUGCUUGAUCCCCUCGGCCCUACCAUAGGCGUACUUGCCAUGCGUGAGACAAAGGCACCACAUGUAUAUGAGAAAAUGUUUGGUGUAAAAAUCUCAGAUACCCUCAUCACCCGGAAAAAAAUCUAUAUAUAAAAAGGAAAGGAAAACCAUAUAUAUGCAGGAUGGAAUUGGAGCUCCUCAGUGCAAGUUAUCAAUUGGUGGACCGCUCAACUCUCCUCAAUUCACCAUCUCGUAGCUAUCAAUAUUUUCGACCUUUUGCAUGGGAUUCGCAAGGGAGAAGUGAUCAGAGUCGAGAACGUUUCCCCAUACACUGACCAAUCUGGUUGAUCGCGUUGCACCGAAGGCGAAACUUUGUUUUUUUUCUUCUCUCUCUUUUAGAUGAACUUCAAUUCUUGAAUGUAAAUUCUUGUUGGGGCUACUGUUUGUCUAUUUAAAGCCAAACCACACUAUUUCCAGCUUUUUCUUCCAUAAAGAUAGUUGAAAAAGAGUGACUUCGCAGCACAUGGUUUCCAUAUUGAUUCAAGAUGAUCAGUCCCCAUGCUUCAUCCCCCAAUGUAGGGCUGUGAGAAGCAGUGUUGUAACUCAGCUUGCAACAUUUCCUGCUUAAACAGAAAACACUGCUGUGGGACUCAUCCACUGAUUGUAGAGAAACUAUGCCCAACUGUUGCAUGCCAUGGUUUGUCGUUUGCUACUGUGGCCUUAAAGUGGGUAGUCUUGAGAAUAUUGAUGUGGGUAUUUCAAUCUUUGUUGCUUGGUAAAAGGGGGACCCGGGGACCUGUAGUGCAGGGGUGCACUACAAGCCAAGGGUUGUAAUGGGUGACCGUAAGAACUUCAGACUCGCGGCGAAUUUUGAAACGGACCAAAAUAUGUGCAAACAGGCAAAGAAGUGGCCGAGCAAGAGUAGCAAAGCAAACGAAUUGAUCAUAACCAUUGAUCAUGCUUGGUAAAAGGGGGAUAAGGGACCCUGCAGUGCACCCCUGCACUACAGGGUUGUAAUGGGUGACCAUAAGAACUUUAGACUUGCGGCAAAUUUUGAAACGGAUCAAAAUAUAUGCAAGCAGGUAAAGAAGUGGCUGAUCGAGCAGAGUAGCAAAGCAAACGAGUUGAAUAUAAC